CAAAAAUGGCGACUGUGUUUGACAACGUGCUCCUCGCGACUUGGAGCGAAAAUGGUCAGUUCGACUGCACAUCGGAGGUCCCAUAUCGAAUGGAAAUAUCACGGCAAACUGAAAGUAUAGUGUUAUCAUUUUACAAUGGCCAAGUAGAAGCAUCCACGGUGACCAUCAACAAAGACACAGAGUUUUCACGGCUGGGGAAGAUGGGCGUUAAUGUCACUAAUGAGGGGACAUCACUCCUAGUCCGAUUCUCCAGUAUACAUGCAAUGAAGGCCUGCCUACAUAAACUAAAGGAAUACAAGAACGGGACCAAGUCUGUGUUUAAUGACAGAACAGAUGAAGCAUCAGCUGUCCAGUACUUCCAGUUCUAUGGCUACCUGUCCCAGCAGCAGAACAUGAUGCAGGACUACAUCCGUACAUCCACCUACCAGAGAGCCAUGCUGGCCAACAUCGCAGACUUCCAGGACAAGGUUAUUCUGGAUGUUGGCGCCGGGUCAGGAAUUCUGUCAUUUUUCGCUAUCCAGGGUGGUGCUAAGAAAGUGUAUGCCAUUGAAGCCAGCAGUAUGGCCCAACACUGUGAGACCCUGGUAGCAACCAACAACUUGUCCAAUCGUAUAGUUGUCAUCCCUGGCAAAGUUGAGGAAGUGGAGGUGCCGGAGCAGGUGGACCUGAUCAUCUCUGAGCCCAUGGGGUACAUGCUGUUUAAUGAGAGGAUGCUGGAGAGCUUUCUGCAUGCCAAAAAGUGGCUGAGACCAGGAGGAAAAAUGUACCCGUCACAAGGGGACCUGCAUAUAGCACCAUUCACAGACGAAUCACUAUACAUGGAACAGUAUUCCAAGGCGAAUUUCUGGUAUCAAGAGUCAUUCCAUGGCGUGAACCUUACAAGUUUACGAAAUGCUUCUGUAGAAGAAUAUUUUAAGCAGCCUAUUGUUGAUACUUUUGACAUCCAUAUAUGCAUGGCCAAGUCCAACAAGUACGUUGUGGACUUCCAGACGGCAGACGAGAACGACCUUCACGUGAUGGAGAUUCCAGUGACUUUCAGCAUGAUGUCCACUGGGAUGGUCCAUGGAUUGGCCUUCUGGUUUGAUGUCGCCUUCUUUGGCUCCGAGAAUACUGUGUGGCUGUCGACAUCUCCAACCGAACCUCUGACUCACUGGUAUCAGGUACGGUGUCUGGUGCAGUCCCCCGUCCUAGUCAAGCAGGGGCAAACCCUCACGGGGAAGGUGACACUCACAUGCAAUACCAGGCAAAGUUAUGAUGUUGAUAUUGAACUAAACAUACCGGGGACUUCAAGCAAGUCUACCAACACGCUAGAUUUAAAGAAUCCAUUCUUCCGCUACACUGGUCAGCCACCACAGCCUCCACCAGGCUGCAACUCCGCAUCUGCCACAGAUGUGUACUGGAAUACACUCGCUACAGGUGAGUUCGCCUCGUCCGCCUUCGGCCGUAGCUCAUCCUCUGCCAGAGAUAUGACCUGGAAAACUCUAUCAGCAGGUCAGACCUCGACGUACAUGAACGGCUUGAUGAAUGGUGUUGUGGACCAGGGCCAGACCCUGCCCCAGCAGGGUGGAGCUGUACAGACCAAUCUUAUAGCACGAAUGUCGUUGCCCCUAUCAACCCUGGCAGUAUUCCAAGCGUAGGGAGCCAAGUGUCGAAUUCUAACGCACACCGGACAUCCAUUGGUGGUGGUAUAAGUCCAAUCAACUUCACAAACUCUCAGAACGUGAUCAGCGGUGGGAUGGCACACUACCCUGUAAGUCAGCAGUUCAUGAUUGGCGACUAUGUGAUGCCUGGCAACGUCGUGGUGCCCACGACAACAGCAGUGGCCUCUGUAUAGUUUUCACAGGAG
Molecule: unclassified non-coding RNA, 1846 nt
Filed under: Haliotis rubra (blacklip abalone)
Lineage: Eukaryota; Metazoa; Mollusca; Gastropoda; Lepetellida; Haliotidae
Description: histone-arginine methyltransferase CARM1-like, transcript variant X1
Source: RNAcentral